GACGAACGCUGGCGGCGUGCUUAACACAUGCAAGUCGAACGGAAAGGCCCUGUUCUUGUGGGGUGCUCGAGUGGCGAACGGGUGAGUAACACGUGAGUAACCUGCCCUUGACUUUGGGAUAACUUCAGGAAACUGGGGCUAAUACCGGAUAGGAGCUCCUGCUGCAUGGUGGGGGUUGGAAAGUUUCGGUGGUUGGGGAAGGACUCGCGGCUCAGCAUCUUGUUGGUGGGGUAGUGGAUUACCAAGGCUUUGACGGGUAGCCGGACUGAGAGUGUGACCGGCCACAUUGGGACUGAGAUACGGCCCAGACUCCUACGGGAGGCAGCAGUGAGAGAUAGUGCACGAUGGGCGGAGGCCGUAUGCAGCAUCGCCGCGUGGGGGAUGACGGCCUUCGGGUUGUAAACCGCUUUCGCCUGGGACGAAGCGUGAGUGACGGUAAUGGGUAAAGAAGCACCGGCUAACUACGUG
RNAcentral lists this ribosomal RNA (468 nucleotides) under uncultured bacterium. Its description in RNAcentral is "partial 16S ribosomal RNA". It matches the Rfam family "Bacterial small subunit ribosomal RNA", at positions 28 to 507 of the family's 1533-position model. The record is from RNAcentral.